Molecule: ribosomal RNA, 468 nt
Filed under: uncultured bacterium
Lineage: Bacteria
Description: partial 16S ribosomal RNA
Rfam family: Bacterial small subunit ribosomal RNA
Source: RNAcentral
GACGAACGCUGGCGGCGUGCUUAACACAUGCAAGUCGAACGGAAAGGCCCUGCUUUUGUGGGGUGCUCGAGUGGCGAACGGGUGAGUAACACGUGAGUAACCUGCCCUUGACUUUGGGAUAACUUCAGGAAACUGGGGCUAAUACAGGAUAGGAGCUCUUGCUGCAUGGUGGGGGUUGGAAAGUUUCGGCGGUUGGGGAUGGACUCGCGGCUUAUCAGCUUGUUGGUGGGGUAGUGGCUUACCAAGGCUUUGACGGGUAGCCGGCCUGAGAGGGUUACCGGCCACAUUGGGACUGAGAUACGGCCCAGACUCCUACGGGAGGCAGCAGUGGGGAAUAUUGCACAAUGGGCGGAAGCCUGAUGCAGCAACGCCGCGUGCGGGAUGACGGCCUUCGGGUUGUAAACCGCUUUCGCCUGUGACGAAGCGUGAGUGACGGUAAUGGGUAAAGAAGCACCGGCUAACUACGUG